Molecule: ribosomal RNA, 503 nt
Filed under: uncultured bacterium
Lineage: Bacteria
Description: partial 16S ribosomal RNA
Rfam family: Bacterial small subunit ribosomal RNA
Source: RNAcentral
AUUGAACGCUGGCGGCAGGCUUAACACAUGCAAGUCGAGCGGGGUGAUGGUGCUUGCACUAUCACUUAGCGGCGGACGGGUGAGUAAUGCUUAGGAAUCUGCCUAUUAGUGGGGGACAACAUCUCGAAAGGGAUGCUAAUACCGCAUACGUCCUACGGGAGAAAGCAGGGGAUCACUUGUGACCUUGCGCUAAUAGAUGAGCCUAGGUCGGAUUAGCUAGUUGGUGGGGUAAAGGCCUACCAAGGCGACGAUCUGUAGCGGGUCUGAGAGGAUGAUCCGCCACACUGGGACGGAGAACCGGCCCAGACUCCUACGGGAGGCAGCAGUGGGGAAUAUUGGACAAUGGGGGGAACCCUGAUCCAGCCAUGCCGCGUGUGUGAAGAAGGCCUUAUGGUUGUAAAGCACUUUAAGCGAGGAGGAGGCUCUUUUGGUUAAUACUCAAGAUGAGUGGACGUUACUCGCAGAAUAAGCACCGGCUAACUCUGUGCCAGCCGCCGCCGUAA